This 413-nucleotide ribosomal RNA is filed under the name uncultured bacterium. RNAcentral's name for it is "partial 16S ribosomal RNA". It matches the Rfam family "Bacterial small subunit ribosomal RNA", at positions 338 to 765 of the family's 1533-position model. The record is from RNAcentral.
CCUACGGGCGGCAGCAGUGGGGGAUAUUGGACAAUGGGGGAAACCCUGAUCCAGCGACGCCGCGUGAGUGAAGAAGUAUUUCGGUAUGUAAAGCUCUAUCAGCAGGGAAGAAAGAAAUGACGGUACCUGAGUAAGAAGCCCCGGCUAACUACGUGCCAGCAGCCGCGGUAAUACGUAGGGGGCAAGCGUUAUCCGGAAUUACUGGGUGUAAAGGGAGCGUAGACGGUAAUGCAAGUCUGGAGUGAAAGGCGGGGGCCCAACCCCCGGACUGCUCUGGAAACUGUGUAACUGGAGUGCAGGAGGGGAAGGCGGAAUUCCUGGGGUAGCGGUGAAAGGGGUAGAUAUUAGGAGGAACACCAGUGGCGAGGGCGGCCUGCUGGACUGUAACUGACGUGGGGGCUCGAAGGCGUGGG